AGCAUAUCAAUAAGCGGAGGAAAAGAAACCAACAGGGAUUGCCCCAGUAACGGCGAGUGAAGCGGCAACAGCUCAAAUUUGAAAUCUGGCUCUCAGGGCCCGAGUUGUAAUUUGUAGAGGAUGCUUUUGGCGAGGUGCCUUCCGAGUUCCCUGGAACGGGACGCCACAGAGGGUGAGAGCCCCGUAUGGUCGGACACCGAGCCUCUGUAAAGCUCCUUCGACGAGUCGAGUAGUUUGGGAAUGCUGCUCAAAAUGGGAGGUAUAUGUCUUCUAAAGCUAAAUAUUGGCCAGAGACCGAUAGCGCACAAGUAGAGUGAUCGAAAGAUGAAAAGCACUUUGAAAAGAGGGUUAAAAAGUACGUGAAAUUGUUGAAAGGGAAGCGCCUAUGACCAGACUUGCGCCCGGUGAAUCACCCAGCGUUCUCGCUGGUGCACUUUGCCGGGCACAGGCCAGCAUCAGUUCAGCGCGGGGGAGAAAGGCUUCGGGAAUGUGGCUCCCUCGGGAGUGUUAUAGCCCGCUGCGUAAUGCCCUGCGCCGGACUGAGGUACGCGCAUUGCAAGGAUGCUGGCGUAAUGGUCAUCAGCGACCCGUCUUGAAACACGGACCAAGGAGUCGUCUUCGUAUGCGAGUGUUCGGGUGUCAAACCCCUACGCGUAAUGAAAGUGAACGCAGGUGAGAGCUUCGGCGCAUCACCGACCGAUCCUGAUGUUCUCGGAUGGAUUUGAGUAAGAGCAUACGGGGCCGGACCCGAAAGAAGGUGAACUAUGCCUGUAUAGGGUGAAGCCAGAGGAAACUCUGGUGGAGGCUCGCAGCGGUUCUGACGUGCGAAUCGAUCGUCAAAUAUGGGCAUGGGGGCGAAAGACUAAUCGAACCUUCUAGUAGCUGGUUUCCGCCGAAG
RNAcentral lists this ribosomal RNA (898 nucleotides) under Beauveria staphylinidicola. Its description in RNAcentral is "partial large subunit ribosomal RNA". It matches the Rfam family "Eukaryotic large subunit ribosomal RNA", at positions 37 to 966 of the family's 3401-position model. The record is from RNAcentral. Lineage: Eukaryota; Fungi; Ascomycota; Sordariomycetes; Hypocreales; Cordycipitaceae.